UGCAAUGACUGUAGCCUGACUCCACUGGU
Molecule: non-coding RNA, 29 nt
Filed under: Homo sapiens (human)
Lineage: Eukaryota; Metazoa; Chordata; Mammalia; Primates; Hominidae
Source: RNAcentral